RNAcentral lists this ribosomal RNA (492 nucleotides) under uncultured bacterium. Its description in RNAcentral is "partial 16S ribosomal RNA". It matches the Rfam family "Bacterial small subunit ribosomal RNA", at positions 29 to 507 of the family's 1533-position model. The record is from RNAcentral.
ACGAACACUGGCGGUGUGCUUAACACAUGCAAGUGGUGCGACGAACCCGAGCUUGCUCUGGGGCAAAGCCGCGAACGGGUGAGUAACACGUGGGUAAUCUACCCCGAUGGCCGGGACAACCCGAGGAAACUCGGGCUAAUACCGGAUGUGGUGCGGAGACAUAAGUCUCUUCUCUAAAGGUAGCUUCGGCUUCCGCAUUGGGAGGGGCCCGCGGCCCAUUAGCUUGUUGGUGGGGUCAAGGCCUACCAAGGCAACGAUGGGUAGCUGGUCUGAGAGGACGAUCAGCCACACUGGGACUGAGACACGGCCCAGACUCCUACGGGAGGCAGCAGUGGGGAAUCUUGCGCAAUGCGCGAAAGCGUGACGCAGCAACACCGCGUGAGGGAAGAAGGCCUUAGGGUUGUAAACCUCUUUCAGAUGGGACGAAGGUUCUCCGGUGAAUAGCCGAGAGGAUUGACGGUACCGUCAGAAGAAGCUCCGGCUAACUACGUG